UACGAAGGGGGCUAGCGUUGCUCGGAAUCACUGGGCUUAAAGCGCACGUAGGCGGACUCUUAAGUCGGUGGUGAAAUCCUGGAGCUCAACUCCAGAACUGCCUUCGAUACUGGGAGUCUCGAGUCCGGGAGAGGUGAGUGGAACUGCGAGUGUAGAGGUGAAAUUCGUAGAUAUUCGCAAGAACACCAGUGGCGAAGGCGGCUCACUGGCCCGGUACUGACGCUGAGGUGCGAAAGCGUGGGGAGCAAACAGG
RNAcentral lists this ribosomal RNA (253 nucleotides) under uncultured bacterium. RNAcentral describes it as "partial 16S ribosomal RNA". It matches the Rfam family "Bacterial small subunit ribosomal RNA", at positions 524 to 776 of the family's 1533-position model. The record is from RNAcentral.